GACGAACGCUGGCGGCGUGCUUAACACAUGCAAGUCGAACGGUAAGGCCUUUCGGGGUACACGAGUGGCGAACGGGUGAGUAACACGUGGGUGAUCUGCCCUGCACUUCGGGAUAAGCCUGGGAAACUGGGUCUAAUACCGGAUAGGACCAUACGCUUCACGGUGUGUGGUGGAAAGCUUUUGCGGUGUGGGAUGGGCCCGCGGCCUAUCAGCUUGUUGGUGGGGUUAUGGCCUACCAAGGCGACGACGGGUAGCCGGCCUGAGAGGGUGACCGGCCACACUGGGACUGAGAUACGGCCCAGACUCCUACGGGAGGCAGCAGUGGGGAAUAUUGCACAAUGGGCGCAAGCCUGAUGCAGCGACGCCGCGUGAGGGAUGACGGCCUUCAGGUUGUAAACCUCUUUCAGUAGGGACGAAGCGCAAGUGACGGUACCUACAGAAGAAGGACCGGCCAACUACGUGCCAGCAGCCGCCGCCG
Molecule: ribosomal RNA, 478 nt
Filed under: uncultured bacterium
Lineage: Bacteria
Description: partial 16S ribosomal RNA
Rfam family: Bacterial small subunit ribosomal RNA
Source: RNAcentral